Molecule: ribosomal RNA, 483 nt
Filed under: uncultured bacterium
Lineage: Bacteria
Description: partial 16S ribosomal RNA
Rfam family: Bacterial small subunit ribosomal RNA
Source: RNAcentral
UUGCACGCUGGCGGCAGGCCUCACACAUGCAGGUCGAGCGGAUGAAGGGAGCUUGCUCCUGGAUUCAGCGGCGGACGGGUGAGUAAUACCUAGGAAUCUGCCUGGUAGUGGGGGAUAACGUCCGGAAACGGGCGCUAAUACCGCAUACGUCCUGAGGGAGAAAGUGGGGGAUCUUCGGACCUCACGCUAUCAGAUGAGCCUAGGUCGGAUUAGCUAGUUGGUGGGGUAAAGGCCUACCAAGGCGACGAUCCGUAACUGGUCUGAGAGGAUGAUCAGUCACACUGGAACUGAGACACGGUCCAGACUCCUACGGGAGGCAGCAGUGGGGAAUAUUGGACAAUGGGCGAAAGCCUGAUCCAGCCAUGCCGCGUGUGUGAAGAAGGUCUUCGGAUUGUAAAGCACUUUAAGUUGGGAGGAAGGGCAGUAAGUUAAUACCUUGCUGUUUUGACGUUACCAACAGAAUAAGCACCGGCUAACUUCGUG